RNAcentral lists this ribosomal RNA (497 nucleotides) under uncultured bacterium. Its description in RNAcentral is "partial 16S ribosomal RNA". It matches the Rfam family "Bacterial small subunit ribosomal RNA", at positions 28 to 507 of the family's 1533-position model. The record is from RNAcentral.
GAUGAACGCUGGCGGCGUGCCUAAUACAUGCAAGUCGAGCGAACGGACGAGAAGCUUGCUUCUCUGAUGUUAGCGGCGGACGGGUGGGUAACACGUGGAUAACCUACCUAUAAGACUGGGAUAACUUCGGGAAACCGGAGCUAAUACCGGAUAAUAUUUUGAACCGCAUGGUUCAAAAGUGAAAGACGGUCUUGCUGUCACUUAUAGAUGGAUCCGCGCUGCAUUAGCUAGUUGGUAAGGUAACGGCUUACCAAGGCAACGAUGCAUAGCCGACCUGAGAGGGUGAUCGGCCACACUGGAACUGAGACACGGUCCAGACUCCUACGGGAGGCAGCAGUAGGGAAUCUUCCGCAAUGGGCGAAAGACUGACGGAGCAACGCCGCGUGAGUGAUGAAGGUCUUCGGAUCGUAAAACUCUGUUAUUAGGGAAGAACAUAUGUGUAAGUAACUGUGCACAUCUUGACGGUACCUAAUCAGAAAGCCACGGCUAACUACGUG